UUUCGUUUUGGUUUUUGAUUUUAAUUUUUUUUUAUGUUUGCUUUUUGUUUUUCUUUUGGUUUUGUUGGUUUCAUAUUGUAGGUUCAUCCGCUUGAGAAGAUAUUGAAAUUGUGUACCCAAUCACACAUUUAUCCUUUUCAUUCAUCGUAUCGGUUUCGUGUAAGUGUAUUUAUACGAUCUUUGUAUGUUGUUUCGUAUAACCCUUAUUGGUUUACAGUCGCUAGCUUAAAACUAACACUAUGUUGCUUUUUGUCCAAUCACUAU
This 264-nucleotide long non-coding RNA is filed under the name Eutrema salsugineum. RNAcentral's name for it is "long non-coding RNA (ESAL_LNC000573)". The record is from RNAcentral. Lineage: Eukaryota; Viridiplantae; Streptophyta; Magnoliopsida; Brassicales; Brassicaceae.